AUGUCGGGCGUGGAAGAGAAGCCGGAGGAGAAUCUGCGCUCGAACCUUGCCCUCACAGCUCUUAGCAUCGUCCGUAACCACCAGUACUUAAAGGAGCUUGCUAUGAAGCAGCUCACGUUCCCCGAACUGGUGCGGAGCACGGACAAGAAUGAGCUGGCCGCUAUGCACAAUGAAAAGGUCGAGGCGCUCAUGGUCCACGACCCCAAGAGGCAGGCCCUCGUCGCCGGCCGCUUCUGCAGCUUCCACCUAGCCGGCUUCGACCUCGACCAAAAGUCAAGAGUAGAACUUGGGCCACCGUACGACCCUGCUGUGAGGAAGGGGACGGCUUCAACCAUGAAUGUCAUUUCCUUGAGGGUGGUUAGAGUUGGUCCUGAUUACACAUACCCGGUUGAGGUUUACGGUAGGGUUGUUGCGAGGGAUGAGGUUGACUACAAAUGUGUCUACCUCUUAAACCGUCAAAGGGAGGAUGCCCAGCUCAUCAAUUCGGAGAAGGAUGUGUUAGCUCUAACAGGUCCAUACCGGCCAUUGGUUACUCGUGCUUUUAUGUGCUUUGAGCUCGAUUUAAAGAUCAAGGGCAAGGGUUUUAGAGAAACAGUUAGAAUCAAAACAUGA
This 612-nucleotide ribosomal RNA is filed under the name Triticum aestivum (bread wheat). RNAcentral describes it as "partial small subunit ribosomal RNA". Lineage: Eukaryota; Viridiplantae; Streptophyta; Magnoliopsida; Poales; Poaceae. The record is from RNAcentral.